AUCCAGCUGAUGAGUCCCGACUAGGACAAAACGUGCGUCCUGGAU
RNAcentral lists this non-coding RNA (45 nucleotides) under Schistosoma margrebowiei. The record is from RNAcentral. Lineage: Eukaryota; Metazoa; Platyhelminthes; Trematoda; Strigeidida; Schistosomatidae.